RNAcentral lists this ribosomal RNA (253 nucleotides) under uncultured bacterium. Its description in RNAcentral is "partial 16S ribosomal RNA". It matches the Rfam family "Bacterial small subunit ribosomal RNA", at positions 524 to 776 of the family's 1533-position model. The record is from RNAcentral.
UACGAAGGGGGCUAGCGUUGUUCGGAAUCACUGGGCGUAAAGGGCGCGUAGGCGGCCGCUCAAGUCGGGGGUGAAAGCCUGUGGCUUAACCACAGAAUUGCCUUCGAUACUGUUUGGCUUGAGACCGGAAGAGGUGAGUGGAACUGCGAGUGUAGAGGUGAAAUUCGUAGAUAUUCGCAAGAACACCAGUGGCGAAGGCGGCUCACUGGUCCGGUUCUGACGCUGAGGCGCGAAAGCGUGGGGAGCAAACAGG